CAAGUUACAAAACCAGCCAGGGAGGGCCCAAACAAACAAAGUUAUCUUAAGUUCUUAACAAAUAAAAUGCAGUGCCCUGUGCCCAAAUAUUUAUAAUUUUAUACCUGAUUCCUGAACCUCAGAACCUGAUACGGUGAGGUGAGGUGAGCAGUUGAGACUUGAGAGAGGCGGAGAGCAGAGAAUCAGAGAGAGGCUGAGGCGGUUCAGCUGGAGACUGAACAGUGGAGACUGGAGACUAGAGAGAGGCGGAGAGCAGAGACCAGAGAGAAAGGGAGGCCCAAAAUGGACAACAUUGUAGAGUCUUUGAACAAUGCAUAUCAGGACUUUGUUGCUGCGGCAGCUAAUGUACUCGAAGCCAAGGAGAUUGCUGGUGCCCAGAAAACAACAGCCACAGAUGCUGCUCUAGAAAAUUUUAAGCAGAAGUGGGAGUUGUUCAGAGUUGCUUGUGACCAAGCAGAGGAGUUUGUGGAGUCUGUGAAGCAAAGGAUAGGAUCAGAGUGCCUAGUGGAUGAAGCAACUGGCUCACCGGCUGGGAAGUCAGGCCAGAGCACUGGUCUUCCACCCAUUAGUGCAGUCCGUUUGGAACAGAUGAGUAAGGCUGUCCGAUGGCUUGUGAUUGAACUACAGCAUGGUUCUGGAAGUGCAGCUGUUUCAGCCAAUUCCCACCCUUCUGCUCCUUUUGAUGCUAGGUUCACUGAAGAUGCAACUCAAUAGUGCUGGAGAUCAGUGAAAAGCACGGCGUUGUGAUAAUCUUUCUUGGUGAUCUGUGAUGUGAAGACUGGGGAUUCAAUGUUGCAGCUCAUCUUUACUGUUGCUGAAGUUUGUAUCUGAUAGCUGCAAAGGGUGGGGGGGAGGACUAGCAGUCUUGCGGAGAGGAUAACUUUGCAUGCAUUUGGGAUUCUUCUCUUUGUAAUUUUGACCCCGCCUUCCAAAUUGACAUGGUUUGAUGUGUACAAUUACAUCUCCAGUUUAAGGUCUCACAAUCAUGGCUUCCUCAGAGGAUUUAGAUUCAUCGUUCGUGUACAAAAUAAGACUCAGGAUAGAUUUCUGUGGACAAUGGUAUCUGCAUCAGUUGAUCUUUUGGACUCUUGAGUUCAGUUUUUUCAUAUGGUGGAAAAAUUGAUAAAAUAUAUGUAGGAAAAAUUUAAAU
Quercus lobata is the source of this 1150-nucleotide RNA transcript. It is a transcript of the gene named mediator of RNA polymerase II transcription subunit-like protein, with no coding region annotated. The record is from RefSeq and is a predicted model, not a curated record. Lineage: Eukaryota; Viridiplantae; Streptophyta; Magnoliopsida; Fagales; Fagaceae. The transcript is spliced from 4 exons.